Arvicanthis niloticus (Nile rat) is the source of this 131-nucleotide non-coding RNA. The record is from RefSeq and is a predicted model, not a curated record. NCBI's taxonomy places the organism in Eukaryota, Metazoa, Chordata, Mammalia, Rodentia, Muridae.
CCCGCCCCUAGAGGCAUUGCAGCUAUGGCUGCUGUGUCACAUUGUGUCAGUAGGUGGCAGAGACGAGACGGGCUAAAACAACCACCAGUCUGGUGUCAGGGGGCCAGGACAGGGAGCUAGCCUGAGGCAAC